RNAcentral lists this transfer RNA (71 nucleotides) under Triticum aestivum (bread wheat). RNAcentral's name for it is "tRNA_PseudoCTC". The record is from RNAcentral. Lineage: Eukaryota; Viridiplantae; Streptophyta; Magnoliopsida; Poales; Poaceae.
UCCGCCGUAGUCUAGGUGGUUAGGAUACUGGUCUCUCAUCUCAAACCUGGGUUCAACUCCUAGCUAUAGAA